GACGAACGCUGGCGGCGUGCUUAACACAUGCAAGUCGAACGGAAAGGCCCUGCUUUUGUGGGGUGCUCGAGUGGCGAACGGGUGAGUAACACGUGAGUAACCUGCCCUUGACUUUGGGAUAACUUCAGGAAACUGGGGCUAAUACCGGAUAGGAGCUCCUGCUGCAUGGUGGGGGUUGGAAAGUUUCGGCGGUUGGGGAUGGACUCGCGGCUUAUCAGCUUGUUGGUGGGGUAGUGGCUUACCAAGGCUUUGACGGGUAGCCGGCCUGAGAGGGUGACCGGCCACAUUGGGACUGAGAUACGGCCCAGACUCCUACGGGAGGCAGCAGUGGGGAAUAUUGCACAAUGGGCGGAAGCCUGAUGCAGCAACGCCGCGUGCGGGAUGACGGUCUUCGGGUUGUAACCCGCUUUCGCCUGUGACGAAGCGUGAGUGACGGUAAUGGGUAAAGAAGCACCGGCUAACUACGUG
Molecule: ribosomal RNA, 468 nt
Filed under: uncultured bacterium
Lineage: Bacteria
Description: partial 16S ribosomal RNA
Rfam family: Bacterial small subunit ribosomal RNA
Source: RNAcentral